UGGGACGCAAACGUCCCACCUUGCCCAGGGAGGUUUUAAUUUACAGUGUUAAUGUGUGAGAACAAUGUUUUUUGUGAACAACAUUUUUUUCCUUCAUUUUGGCAAUAUAGUAACGUUGGUAGCAACGUGGAAAAAUCGUUGUGGAAAUCUGUUGCAGCUCAAGUCGACUACAAAAUCCACAAUGCAAUUCUGUCACUAGUCGUGGAAAUGGAGUCCCUAGAGAAAGCAAGAACAAGAUGGUUGUCAGGAGUAUUGCAAUAUUAUCAUAAGGAGACGUAUUUUUGGAAAACGGAGGAGGAAUGGAGGGAAAAAGAGAGGGAGAGGAGGUCUAAGAGAAAGAGGGAAGAUUAGGGAGUUCCAGGUGGGGGUGUACACACUGGAGGUCAACAUUGAUGAGCACAUGUAGGAGCCCAUCCGUGUGACGUCCAUCUACACCAGUGAAGGAGGUCUCCUAUAUAAGAAUUUGGCAGUAUGUCCAACCGGCCUCACAACCGCAGACCAUGUGUAACCACGCCAGCCCAGGACCUCCACAUCCGGCUUCUUCACCUGCAGGAUCACCUCAUACCAGCCACCCGGACAGCUUAUGCAACUGAGGAGUAUUUCUGUCUGUAAUUAAGCACUUUUGGGGGGAAAAACUGAUUCUGAUUGGCUGGGUCUGGCUUCCAAGUGGGUGGGCCUGGUUCCCAAGUGGGUGGGCCUAUGCUGCACCCCUGCCCUGUCAUGUGAAAUCCAUAGAUUUAUUUAAAUUGACUGAUUUCCUUAUUUGAACUGUAACUCGUAUUGUUGUUGCAACAAUUUAUAUUUUUGUUCAGUAUAAGAUACCUGUAGCUAGCUAGCUACCUAUUAGCCAUCAUAUUGCUAGCUUUCGUUUCAGCACCUUGCUUGACUGAUCUGUCUUAGCAACAGUAACUAUACGGCGGAGUUGUGGGAGAGAAUUUUUGUUACAUUUUUUAUUUAUUUUAUUAACAACAAAUCAAUACAGGAAGUACAUGUGGGAACACAAUUAUAUAUGAAUAAUAUACAAUGGACAAUUGGGCUAGGGGCGGGGCUGGGG
Molecule: long non-coding RNA, 1054 nt
Filed under: Salmo salar (Atlantic salmon)
Lineage: Eukaryota; Metazoa; Chordata; Actinopteri; Salmoniformes; Salmonidae
Description: lncRNA (ENSSSAG00000098576.1, ENSSSAG00000113038.1, ENSSSAG00020071169.1, ENSSSAG00075035128.1)
Source: RNAcentral